AUUGAACGCUGGCGGCAGGCCUAACACAUGCAAGUCGAGCGGAUGAAGGGAGCUUGCUCCUGGAUUCAGCGGCGGACGGGUGAGUAAUGCCUAGGAAUCUGCCUGGUAGUGGGGGAUAACGUCCGGAAACGGGCGCUAAUACCGCAUACGUCCUGAGGGAGAAAGUGGGGGAUCUUCGGACCUCACGCUAUCAGAUGAGCCUAGGUCGGAUUAGCUAGUUGGUGGGGUAAAGGCCUACCAAGGCGACGAUCCGUAACUGGUCUGAGAGGAUGAUCAGUCACACUGGAACUGAGACACGGUCCAGACUCCUACGGGAGGCAGCAGUGGGGAAUAUUGGACAAUGGGCGAAAGCCUGAUCCAGCCAUGCCGCGUGUGAAGAAGGUCUUCGGAUUGUAAAGCACUUUAAGUUGGGGGGAAGGGCAGUAAGUUAAUACCUUGCUGUUUUGACGUUACCAACAGAAUAAGCACCGGCUAACUUCGUG
Molecule: ribosomal RNA, 482 nt
Filed under: uncultured bacterium
Lineage: Bacteria
Description: partial 16S ribosomal RNA
Rfam family: Bacterial small subunit ribosomal RNA
Source: RNAcentral